CUGCAUUCACCUCCAGCUUCGUGACCACCCCCGCUCAGCCCAGGUAUCCCUCAGCUUCUGGCUAUGAAUCGGAUCCCACCACAUCAAGCAAAGCCUUCCUGUUUGUGAAGGAGUCCAUCAACAGCACAGAACUGUCUUCCUCACCACGCUACAACAGCCGCAGCUUGGUUGACUUGUCUACACUGGAGAGAUCAAACUACGGCGGCGUCAGCUACAU
Euleptes europaea (tarantolino) is the source of this 217-nucleotide long non-coding RNA. RefSeq lists it as uncharacterized. The record is from RefSeq and is a predicted model, not a curated record. The transcript is spliced from 3 exons. Lineage: Eukaryota; Metazoa; Chordata; Lepidosauria; Squamata; Sphaerodactylidae.